CCUGCCCGGGCCGGCGCCGCAGAGCCAUUGGGCGCCCCGCACACCCCCGCCGCGCGGUCCAAUCCCGUGGCCACUGGCUGUCGUGGGGGCUGAGCCUUUGCGACGCGCCUGGUCCACCUAAGGCACGAGUCCACACCCGCGAGACGUCCAGAACUGGCAAAGACACGAGACUUAGAAAACGGUACAAAAAGUUCCCAUGUGCUCUUCACUCAAGCUUCCCCAAAUGUUGACAUCUUACGUAACCAUAGUACAAUGAUCCAAACAAGAAGAGGAAAUCUGGACACACAAAGAGGCACCAGGGGCACAACAUGGAAAGACCGUGUGAGGACACAGCGACAAGGCAGCCAUCUGCAUGCCAAGGAGCGAGGCCUCAGAAUGAAACCAGCCCAGCAGACACCCUGAUCUUGGACUUCUAGCCUCUAGAACUGUGAGAAAAUACAUUUCUAUUGUUUGAGCCAUCCCAUUGGUGGCCCCAGCAAACUAAUAUAUCCAUUCUCUUUGAUUCUUAGGAAUCUGCCGAUUUCUACGUUCUUCUACCCUUUCUAUCUGCCCAUUUGCCAAUAUGGGCUGGGACCUCCAGCCCUCUCCUCUCCUUGUCCUUGUUGCUGGUCCCAAGUAAAUCCUUCCACCAGAUUUCUCUCAGUUAUAUUUCUCCCAAGCUCCUUGCUCAGCAAAACAUCUCUUUCUUUGCUUAUUACUUAUAUCUCCCUUGUAUUAUUUUCCCAUUGCUGCUGUAACAAAUUAACAUGGAUUUAAUGACUUAAAACAACACAAGUUGUUUGUCUUAGAGUUUUGGAGGUCAGAAGUCUAAAAUGAGUCUGCAGGGCUGGAGGUCCCAGAGGAGAAUCCACUUCCUUGCCUUUUCCAGCUUCUAGCCUCCCCCUGCUUUCCUUGGCUGUGGCCUCCACCUUCAAGGUCAGCAGCAUGGCAUCUUCCAGUCUCUCUCUCUGUUGUUUUAUUGUCACAUAGCCUUUUCUGACCCUGACCCUCCUACUUCACGCUUAGAAGGACCCUUGUGAUUAUAUUAAGCUUGCCUGGAUAAUCCAGACACUCUCCCCAUCUCAAGAUCAUUACAUUAGUCACAUCUAUAAAAUCCAUUUUGCCAGGAAAAGCAGCAUAUUCCCAGAGAUUGAGACAUGAACAUCUUUGGGGGGACCAUUAUUCAUCCUACUAUAUCCCUCUUUAUCAUGUCUUCCUUCUCUGAGACCACUGGUCUCACCUAACAGCAAUUGACCAUCUUAGCUGAAAUCAAACUACCCAUUUAUCAACACAUACAGAUCAGGACUAUCUGUCCCAGCAAAUGGGUUCAUUCAUUCAUUCAAUUAAUAAAUAUUCAUUGAGCACCAUUAUGUGUCAGGCACUGAACUAUAUAUGCUGUAUGUGGAAAGGAUUUGUAUUUGCAAUGCCUUCCAAAAAAAAAAAAAUCCAAUUCCUGCCUAAAUUAGAGAAAAUGCUUAUGGUCUAUAAAAAAAGAGCAAAGUUUUCCUAAUGAUUCAUACACAAUUCCCUUAACCAAAUGUAUUAGAGAGAAAAUAGAGCAAAGUUGGGUUCCUAGAAAAAAAAAUCUUUCGGUCUAUGAAAAAAGGAAAGUUUCCCCCAAUGAUUUCUACACAAUUCUUUUAACCAAAUUUGUUAGACAGAAAAAUAGAGCAAACUUGGGUUCCUGGAAAAGGAACGUUGGAGCCACAAAAUGAGGUAGGAGAGGGAUUAGGGCUGCCAGAUAAAAUGCAGGAUGUUCAGUCAACUUAGAAUUUCAGAUAAACAAUGAAUGACUUUUUUAGUUUAAGUGUGCCCCACGCAAUACUGGGGGCAUAUCUAUACUGUAAAAUUUUUCAUCCUUCACCUAAAAUUCAAAGUUAACUGGGCACCCCGUAUUUUUUCCAAAUUUAUUUUACUAAAUCUGGCAACCCCAAAGGGAGGGAACUGAUGUUUACUGAGUGCCUCUUGCAUAUGUCAGUUCUCCACGUUAACUCAUUAUUCCUUGCAGAAACCCGAAGAGUAAGAGAUUGGUAACAAUCUGUAGAGACAUUUAUCCUCCGAAAUCCAUGGUGGUCUUUAUCAAGCAGCUUGACGGAUUUACUUAAUGGGAACUGAAAGAAGAAAAAAUGAAUACUUAGAAGGUUUAUUAGCAUUGCACAUGUAUUGCUGUAUCCUCAACUCUUCUUAAAAGCAAUCAAAACGUCAGUAGCUGAAGACAAUCCAUCACUCAAGCAAGUGCUAAAGACACGCAUGGUCUUCACAUGAGAGGAGUUGCUCUAAGAUAAAUUGAUUCAUUACAUUGAUGCUGCAUCAUCUGUAGAAGCUGUGACUCAGAGCCCUCCAGCAAUAAUGAGGCCACAUAUUCGUGUGGUAUUAAUAUCCCUGCACACCAGGGGAUGACUGGAGAGCACAGGGCUGUGUUACAAGAUGAAGGGGGAGCUCUGUUAAGAACUUGUUCAGCAGGGAGUAAGCACUGGUGUGGGAGCUGAGCUUCAAUUUACAACUAAGGAUCACAUUAAAAAGACAUUAAGAUGAUUACAAUGGAGCUUAUUGUAGCUGUUAAUAUUUAUCAUUAUUUCAUUUUGUUUUAAUGAAUGGGGGCUUAAUAAGAACCACCAAGUGGGCCACAGCAUCUGAAAUCUAACUUUUGCUAAUCCUGAAAUUUUUACUAACAGAAAAGAUUUCUACUAUGGGCUGGGCGCAGUGGCUCAUGCCUGUAAUCCUAGCACUCUGGGAGGCUGAG
Microcebus murinus (gray mouse lemur) is the source of this 2722-nucleotide non-coding RNA. The record is from RefSeq and is a predicted model, not a curated record. NCBI's taxonomy places the organism in Eukaryota, Metazoa, Chordata, Mammalia, Primates, Cheirogaleidae.